UNCCUCUAUAUUGUAUGUAGAAAGUGCUGU
Molecule: non-coding RNA, 30 nt
Filed under: Rattus norvegicus (Norway rat)
Lineage: Eukaryota; Metazoa; Chordata; Mammalia; Rodentia; Muridae
Source: RNAcentral